Aptenodytes forsteri (emperor penguin) is the source of this 785-nucleotide long non-coding RNA. RefSeq lists it as uncharacterized. Lineage: Eukaryota; Metazoa; Chordata; Aves; Sphenisciformes; Spheniscidae. The record is from RefSeq and is a predicted model, not a curated record. The transcript has 3 exons.
AGGGCACUACACCGGAUGCAGGAGAUGGGAGUUCCGAUCCUCGCUCUCUCAGGAGUGUAGUAGUUUCAUGAUGCUUGGUGUACACUCUACACAGAAUUCUACAUUUGCCAUGCAAGUGGGGAACAAACAUGCAAGCUACUUCAUGUGGAAAACCAGAUACACAGGGUUUUCUUAAGAUUCCUGACACUAAAAAACUUGAAAGUGGAGAGUUUGCCCCUUCUCUGCUUCAUCACCUCUACUGUUGUGCUCUUCAGAGUUUAUUGUCUCAAGAAUAUCUAGUGAAGCCUGAUUCAAAAGUAUCUGUAAAAGAUUUUGGAAAAGAGCCAUUGUGGGGGAGUCUAAUUGAAGCAGCUGACUGAUGAGUGAAACCCUGUCUUUUUACUAAUUGCAUCUUCAACUUUUGUAAUCUUCAUACAUGGAUUUUAUCUCCUAACUUCCAAGAUAAACCAAGGACUGAUCUUUCAUCUGUUCUGCCAGCACAUAUGAUCAUCUGUUACAGCCCUGUGCAUGAUAGCACUCUGGCUGCAGCAGUGUGUAGCUCCGUGUGGGCCACGUGCCAAACACCCAGCCUUGAGGAAGAGCCUGCAGCUUGCCUUGAGCAUUGUUACUUUUGCUACUUCUUUAGCAAUAUCCAAGCUUGCUAGUUUAAAGAUAGCUCAUACAUGCCCACACUAGCUGCAGUGACCACAGUAGAGCAGUAUCUGGUGUUUCUCUAAUUUUUCUCUAUCCCUCCUCUGUGAUCCCCUUUCUCUUUCUAUGCUUAAAAUCGAAUGUUAAGAUUCUUG